Molecule: long non-coding RNA, 2795 nt
Organism: Triticum dicoccoides
Lineage: Eukaryota; Viridiplantae; Streptophyta; Magnoliopsida; Poales; Poaceae
Exons: 7
Source: RefSeq, a predicted model, not a curated record
UCCCUCGCCACACUACCGCACCAUCUCCCUCCUCCCUCCUCCCUCAUCACUAGCCGCCGCAACAAGGGAUUUGCCACCCCUCCUCCAUCAUCACCAGUCGCAGCAGCAGGAGAUUUGUCGCCGCCGAGAUCCAGCGCCUUGCAAGGUCCUCGGGUCAGCCUUGUCGUGCCCGCCACUCUGUCGACCAGAUCUGUGCCUUUGACUCCCUCUUCUCUCGCGUCGCGCGGUGCCUUCUGCUCCACCAUGCCGCAGUUAAGUUGUGGAUGACGGGGCCAUGGACCGGUCCUUAAGGAGAGAAGGAAGAUGAGGGUGAGAGAAGGAAGGAGAGGAGGGAUAAGGAGAGAGGAAAGAGGAGAGUUUGCCACAAAAAUCUUGCUGAGUGUACAGAUCUGAGGAUGAAGAGAAUAAGAAGAAUUUAGCUGAAGGGGUGAAGAAAAUCAAGAGUUUAUGGUUACUGAAAUUGGAUAACAGAGAGUCACAACUUCAGUUUUCAAUUACAGUAGUUGAUGUGUUAUGUUUGCUGCAAUUUGUCAUGUGUGUUUGAGAGAGAAGGAUGAAAAAGAGGGGACUGGAAGCUUGAUCAUUGCCAGGAUCUGGAUUCAGAGAGAGGGGUGAAAAAGAAGGGACAUGGAUUCAGAGAGGGAUGAAAAGAGGGGACUGAAAGAUCUUGCAUUGCGUUUCUUCAUCUACCAAUACGGUUUCGUGUACCAUUUGAACAUAACCAAGUAGUAUAACCAAAGUGUGCUGGUUUAUGGCUUCUCAUGGGAUGUGAUUCUGGUCAUGCUGCUUGUUAUGAAGGCUGAGGUGAGCAUCAUGAAGAUGAGUAGGCGAGUGGCUGAUAUAGAGAGCUCCUCGAAUGGGGAAGUAGCAUUGUUGGAGGAACUCGAAGAUGAGAAGGUUCCGAAGUCAUGCCUUUGCCUUACUGUUGUGCUGAUACUGGAUGCAACAUUGUGGACCUCUGGUUCGAGCAUGGCCAGCAUGGCCACGGAUUGUAGGGGAGGAAUGUAUUGCCUAAUGAGUUGUAUGCUUUCUUUAGAUCCUCUGUGCUCCCUAUCACAUCUGGCUUGGCCACCUACAAAUUCUUGGGUCCACGUGAGCUCUCUUUCCACUCUGCAAGUUUUGCUUGCUCUUUCUGGGCUAUUUGUGAAGGCUAGCCCCUUUCCUAAGUCUCUUAUUUUAUUAUGGAUCAUGGAAGUGGGGAGUGUAACUCACAUUUUUAUAACACUGAUCCUUUAGGUAUAUAUACUUUGGUUUUCUGAAAGUGGAUUGCAUUUGCUUCCUGAUCACAUUGAAACAAGGGUGGAAACAACCAUCGUCCGCCGACCAUUCUUCCUCCCUCAGGUUCCUGAUCUGAAGCGGAGGAACACGAGGUCGCAUCCAUUAAGUGUCAGAAAGGGGUUGCAAUGAUUUUCUUCAGUCUGACAAUCAUAUAGUAAUUAGACGGUGUAGUACUAUGGCGGUGGUAUACUGAUUUGGUGUAAGAAUCACUAACAUGACUUUGCAUGUACAAAUCUUACAUGUUAAUGAUAUUAAGAAUUAGUAGCAUGUUUUUUUUGUUUACUGCUGGAUUUGCUAACAAGAUGUCUCUUGUGUUGUUGAUUGAUAUGCAGACUUGCUGUUUUUUGUUCAGUUGAAGGGCCCUCCAGGCUUAAGAUCUUUCGAGGAUAAUUGUGUCAUUGAAUCUGAAGGUUAUGCGAUCUCCUAUGUUGCUGCAUGUUGAUCUUCUGUUUUGUUGUAACUCUAUUUUGCUGCUCGAGGUUUGCUUCCUUUCUUUCUAGCUACAUGUGUAUUCUUUGAUUUCUAGCUACAUGCAUGUUUUCCUUUUGCUCAUGGAAUAGUUUACUUAUUUUGAACAGUAGCAUCUCUGUUAUUACAGACAUACUAGGCCCGUGCUUCUUCAUGGUGGCCAUCUCUUUUUUUGUGAGAAGUGUGCCUUAUGGCUUAUUCUUGUAUAUUCAGUUCUUCUGCCAUUCAACAGUCAAUACCAAGCCAUUUUUAUGGAGCCGAUAGUGUUCUGGUGGUCAGUGAUAACUGAAAAUCUCUUUCAUUAUCAUUGCUUGCUAUGUAGCCAUUUUUCUUCUUUUCGCUUUGCUUCGAUGUGUUUAUUUCUAUGGAGUCUCUGCUACCUUACAACAUCAAGAUGAAAACUAAGCAUCUGAGUUUCUUGGAGCAGCCCUACACGUGGUUGUUGUGCCUUUUUCCCUUGUGCUUUUGAAAUGCAACAUGACAGUAGUCAAUGCAUAUAUCAGGGUUGUAAACCUAUUAGAUUUGGGACAGAGGAAAGUGUGAAGAUUUUAUGAUUGUUGCAAAGUAAAAGUUGAUAUUAGUGCCAGCUUAGGUGAUCUGGUCCAAAGGGAUAUCUCAGAUUUAUGAGUUGAUAGUAUAUUUGCAUCUAAGAAUAAACCUUAGUUUUUGGACAGAAUUUAUGAGUGAAAGUAUUCUGGUGUAUACCAGCCUUUUGUGUAGGAUUGUUAUGGUUAUUGUGGUUGUCAAUUUUGUUGACAAAAUAGUUCCAAUGGACAUCUUUUUCGGUGUCGUACGGUAGAUAGAUUUGGUCUGCUCUUUCAUGCGUUCUUCGGCUUUAUGAUUAAUAUUCCCAGAAAUUUGAACAAAAUUGAGCUAUUAAAUAAACGUCCCAGGAAAUUUAGAUUAUUACAGUGGGGGCACUCCUUUGCAUGGUUUUCAGUACAAGAGAUUUAACCUUUUUUGUAGUAUCAUUCUCCCUGGCGGAUUACAUGUAGGUUGUUUUAAUUACAAGCAUGCCUUCAGCUCAUGGUUCUUAUAUUUUUUAUUUU